UUGAAGUAGCCUGAAAGUGUCUCGCAGCGUUAUCCGUUUAAUUUCGCGAUCGGCGUUUGGAGAAUUUGGGGACAGACAGACAACUCAUCUGAGGGUGAGUGAGGUGGAGGGACAAGGGUCGCCAUCAUCCAUCUAGCGAGCUGUUCGGGAGGGAGGGGAGGGGAUGGGACUCGAUUCCAUUCCAUGGCCGUGGAUCCGAAGCAACAGUGGCGGUGUUCUGGUCUCACUUGGCCAGCAAGCGCGGUGACCUGUGGCGGACGCCGAGGUGCAAUGUAGUGACCUCUUCUCUUCUUUCUUCUCCCCUUCUACCUCCUCUCUCUUUAUCUUCCUUCUUCUUCCUCCUCCUUCUCAACCCAAUGGCGAUCUAGCCAGUAGGUGAGGGACUUGAACCACUCAGCCCCCAUGUGGAUCCGCCCCUGCCGGUGACACUGAUGCAUGCACCUCAGCUCGCUAGCUAGCCAAUUUCGAUUGCUUCUUUGGAGGGUUUCGUGCUUCAUGCCAAGGGCGUGAUCAUCGUCAGGUCAGGUCAGGUCAGAUCAGAUCAGAUCAGGUCACGUGUGCGCGCGUGCGUACUUCUAGAAGCUUUUGUAGUCUUCGGGUUGUUCCAUGAUCUACGUGCCGUUUCAUGCUGUCGGCGCUUCCUUCGUUCUCAGAAUCAUUCAUUCCUGAAUCCUGAGGGCCCACCAGCAGAAGCACUAUGAGCCAUCGUCAUGUACCUGUCUGUAUACACAAAUGUUCCUCCACUGGAGAAAAAACUUCUUGAUCUGGAGUAAUUAUUCUACUACAGAGUAUUCAGAAGCGGAUCCACCCAGGGUUAUGGAGAGAGCUUAAGGGUAUAGAAGAGGAAGAAGAAAAUAAAAAAGAAGAGAAAGAGGAGCAUGAGGAAGAUGAAGAGCUCUCAAAUUGUUGAUAGCCUUGAAUCCACCGCCGAAGUAUUAUACACAGAUAGAGAGAAAAUAAAGGCGAGAUAUCUAUUCAUACCGCGUGACUGGCGUGAACAAUGUGGAGUCGAUCGCGCCGUUCGUUCAUUGCACCGACGUACGCGACGUGCGGGCCAGCCGGGCGGUGGCCACCGGAUUUGGCUGGUUGUCGCCGCGCCACUGCACGGUGAUCUUGACGCUGCCAUGGAUCACGCAUGGAAUGAUCCGUACGUGCGCCUCCGUUUGGUUGCAUCGCGAGAAGAGAGGGGUUUAAGUUGUGUUUAGUUGGAUUGAGGUUUUUAGUUUUUGGUUGAAAAGUUGGUUUUUGGUUGAUGGUUGAUAUCUUUUUACUAUUAGUUUUUUAAUAAAUUUUUUACUUUCUAACA
Long non-coding RNA from Phragmites australis (common reed), 1306 nucleotides. RefSeq lists it as uncharacterized. The transcript is spliced from 2 exons. The record is from RefSeq and is a predicted model, not a curated record. Lineage: Eukaryota; Viridiplantae; Streptophyta; Magnoliopsida; Poales; Poaceae.